AAAGAAAUCGUUAAGGGCGUAUGGCGGAUGCCUAGGCUUUCAGAGGCGAAGAAGGACGUGGUAAGCUGCGAAAAGCUCGGGGGAUUGGCACACACGAAUUGAUCCCGAGAUGUCCGAAUGGGGCAACCCGGCAUGUUGAAGACAUGUCACCUCUUAGGAGGAGCAAACCCGGAGAACUGAAACAUCUAAGUACCCGGAGGAAAAGAAAUCGAAGAGAUUCCGUAAGUAGUGGCGAGCGAAAGCGGAUUAGCCCAAAAGCUUUUAUAUGUUUAAUAGAAUGUUCUGGAAAGAACAGCCAUAGAGGGUGAUAGCCCCGUAUAUGAAAGGCAUACAUAAGUGAUAAAUGAGUAUGGCGGGACACGUGAAAUCCUGUCUGAAUAUGGGGGUGGACCAUCCUCCAAGGCUAAAUACUCCUGAAAGACCGAUAGUGAACAAGUACUGUGAAGGAAAGGUGAAAAGCACUUCGAAUAGAAGGGUGAAAUAGAACCUGAAACCGUACGCCUACAAGCGGUCGGAGCAGAUUAAUUCUGUGACGGCGUGCCUUUUGCAUAAUGAGCCUACGAGUUAAUUUUACUAGCGAGGUUAAGGACUUAAGGUCCGGAGCCGGAGCGAAAGCGAGUCUGAAUAGGGCGCAUAGUUAGUAGGAUUAGACGCGAAACCUUGUGAUCUACCCAUGGGCAGGUUGAAGCUCUGGUAACACAGAGUGGAGGACCGAACCGGUUGACGUUGAAAAGUCUUCGGAUGACCUGUGGGUAGGGGUGAAAGGCCAAUCAAACUGGGAGAUAGCUCGUACUCUCCGAAAUGCAUUUAGGUGCAGCGUCGUAUAUAAGUUUAUUAGAGGUAGAGCUACUGAUUGGAUGCGGGGGUUUCAUCGCCUACCAAUUCCUGACAAACUCCGAAUGCUAAUAAAUGUUCUACGGCAGUGAGGGCAUGGGUGCUAAGGUCCAUGUCCGAAAGGGAAAGAACCCAGACCAACAGCUAAGGUCCCUAAAUAUAUGCUAAGUUGAAACAACGCGGUUGGACUGCAUUGACAGCUAGGAUGUUGGCUUGGAAGCAGCCAUUCAUUUAAAGAGUGCGUAACAGCUCACUAGUCGAGCGGUCCGGCAUGGAUAAUAAUCGGGCAUAAGCAUAUUACCGAAGCUAUGGGAUUAAUUAAAUUAAUCGGUAGGAGAGCAUUCUAUCGGCGCCGAAGCAGUAUCGUGAGGUAUUGUGGAGCUUAUAGAAAAGAAAAUGUAGGCAUAAGUAACGAUAAAGGGGGCGAGAAACCCCCUCACCGAAAGACUAAGGUUUCCUCAGCCAUGCUAAUCAGCUGAGGGUUAGUCGGGACCUAACGCGAACCCGAAAGGGGUAGUGGAUGGACAAUGGGUUAAUAUUCCCAUACUUGCUCACACUAAAAAGGGGACGGUUCAAUGUAGCUACUGGAGACUGACGGAAUAGUCAAGGCCUAGCCUUCGGGCGAAGCUGCUGUAGUGAACUUGGAUCCAAGAAAAGCCGAAGUGAAGCAACCCGUACCAAAACCGACACAGGUGGUCGAGGAGAGAAUCCUAAGGUGCUCGAGUGAGUCGUGGCUAAGGAACUAGGCAAAAUAGUCUCGUAACUUCGGAAGAAGAGACGCCAACAGCAAUGUUGGCCGCAGUGAAGAGGCCCAGGCGACUGUUUAUCAAAAACACAGGACUCUGCUAAAUCGAAAGAUGCUGUAUAGGGUCUGACACCUGCCCGGUGCUGGAAGGUUAAGGAAGGGCGUUAGCGUAAGCGAAGCGUUUGACUGAAGCCCCAGUAAACGGCGGCCGUAACUAUAACGGUCCUAAGGUAGCGAAAUUCCUUGUCGGGUAAGUUCCGACCUGCACGAAUGGUGUAACGAUCUGGGCACUGUCUCAGCCACGAGCUCGGUGAAAUUGUAGUAUCGGUGAAGAUGCCGAUUACCCGCAAUGGGACGAAAAGACCCUGUGAACCUUUACUAUAACUUCGUAUUGACUUUGAGUAAGUAAUGUGUAGGAUAGGUGGGAGGCUUUGAAGCAGGCACGCUAGUGUUUGUGGAGCCAACGUUGAAAUACCACCCUUUACUUACUUGGAGCCUAACUUCUUUCAGAAGGACAUUGCGUGGUGGGUAGUUUGACUGGGGUGGUCGCCUCCAAAAGAGUAACGGAGGCUUUCAAAGGUACCCUCAGCACGCUUGGUAACCGUGCGUAGAGUGUAAUGGCAUAAGGGUGCUUGACUGUGAGACCAACAAGUCGAUCAGGUGCGAAAGCAGGACAUAGUGAUCCGGUGGUUCCGUAUGGAAGGGCCAUCGCUCAUAGGAUAAAAGGUACUCCGGGGAUAACAGGCUAGUCUCCCCCAAGAGCUCACAUCGACGGGGAGGUUCGGCACCUCGAUGUCGGCUCGUCACAUCCUGGGGCUGGAGAAGGUCCCAAGGGUUGGGCUGUUCGCCCAUUAAAGUGGCACGCGAGCUGGGUUCAGAACGUCGUGAGACAGUUCGGUCUCUAUCUAUUGCGGGCGUUAGAUGUUUGAGAGGGCUUGAUUCUAGUACGAGAGGACCGAAUUGAACAAACCUCUGGUGUAUCAGUUGUACCGCCAGGUGCACCGCUGAGUAGCUAUGUUUGGAAGAGAUAAACACUGAAAGCAUAUAAGUGUGAAACUCGCCUCAAGAUGAGACAUCUUUUAAGGGUCGUGGGAGAUGACCACGUUGAUAGGCUACAGGUGUAAAGUUGGUAACAGCAUAGCCGAGUAGUACUAAUUACCCGUAGAUUUAUAGCC
This 2754-nucleotide ribosomal RNA is filed under the name Chryseobacterium sp. SORGH_AS_1175. RNAcentral describes it as "23S ribosomal RNA". It matches the Rfam family "Bacterial large subunit ribosomal RNA". The record is from RNAcentral. Lineage: Bacteria; Pseudomonadati; Bacteroidota; Flavobacteriia; Flavobacteriales; Weeksellaceae.